AUGGAAUCUGAAAUUGUGUCCGUGGACUUUGACCUCAAUGCGGUGGGUGGUUACGAAAGAUUUAUCGACAUGUUCCGUGACAAGCUCGCCCGCCACCGACAACGAGACGAGUACAUCGCUAUGCACGGUCCUUGGCUCGUGGAUCAUCCUUUACUCCCCGAGCAACGAACGCCUAAGCCGGCGAGGUGGAUGCACAUUAAUCUGACAGAGAAGGAUGCAAACACAGGUGAUGUAAGAAGGACAACUGUGAUUGUCCGGGACGACAAUGUGUUUGUCGUGGGCUUCCAGAACCGCAACAGAGACUACUUCGAGUUUGGCAUCGACAAUAGGAGCACGCACAUUAUUCCGGAACCCGAUCAUCUAAACAAUGAUCAGGAACCGGCCAAGUUGUUUUUCCUAGGGUGCGAUGCAGAUUACCCAGAUCUGGUUGGAUGCAAGGGAAAUUUGGCGGACUUGGAUCUUGGAAAGGAAGCCAUGACACGCGCAGUGCGUACGCUCUGGGCAUAUACAAACAUAAAGGGGCCAGCUGAUACGGCCACAAGGAAGGAUUUGGCACGCGUGUGCGUCGUCAUCGCCGAGUCUGCACGGAUGGCUUCACACUUCGAUACGGUGAGAACUGGUUGGAACACCCAAGGCAGCAGAAUCAACCUGACACAGGUACGAUACGUAGACACAUGGAGCAAAAUGUCACGCGCGCUGAUCAAGUGUGCCAAGGAAAAUCUUGAAAAUCUGAGGACACAUCCCGCAUUCGAUGUACUUCACCUGCUGCUUAACUCACCUGGUGCUCAGCGUAAACAACGAAAACAGCAAGAUCGGCAAGAGCAGUCGCCGGUGACGCCUGAGGGUGGUGGCCCAAGUCAGGAGCAGCCGGGCAGUGGUCCCCGGCUGCAGCCACCUGCAUCCCGGGGCGGCGCCGGAACCCAGCAGCACGGGCGGAGGGCCGGCAAGUCGGUCAGCACUCGGCCCCUAGUGGAGGUGUACCGCGUGAAACCUGUUGGGGGUACUACCAUCAGCACCAUCGUCGUCUUCGACGGGAAACGCGGCCAGAUCAUCUACAAGCACGACGAACAUGACGAAUCACGGUCUCAGGGAACUUCAACUGCGGACCAUGCUAUUUAUAGGGACAGCUUGGUACUCACUGGACCAUACAGAGCCAUCUCGGCCGACGGGAGCUUCGUCGUUAAAGUGGACGGCAUCCUCGGAACGGACUCUUCAUCCAGCCAAUUCGUCAGUGCCGACAUGUUCUGGGAUGGCUACGCCGAAGACGUGGUGUACAACAGGGUCGUGACGACCUACCCCGCCAUCAGCACAAACCCCAGCCACCCCCUCGCAUCUGUGACCUACGCGGUGUGGAGCGACGCCGUGGAGGCCACCGUGGAGGUCAACCUGCUCCUCCAUCAUGCCGGCAUCACCCACGUCUACGGCGAGAUCACCUCGUUGUGCCAGACAACGGAAAGCAGGGUGCUGCUCUUCAUGCGUAAAGAGUACGAGAAAGUGGAGCUCGUCCCCUCGCCUGAUGGCUCCUCCAUGGUUCCACUUCAACUAGGGAGGUCCGUGGUCGCGGUGCCAAUGCAAUUGCAAACAGACAAGUCGCGCUUGCGGGUUUAUGUGCGGCUUCAUGCCAUGACUCCACCUCCACGUCCAAGCAAUGGUGAGGCCACUGUCGUCGAUCUUGCAGGCGAUAUCGACUUCUACUUUGACACACAUACGGGGGAGAUUCGUGUUAUGAUCUUUGAUGGCAUUUUCGUGCCUCUAGCUAGUUCCCACCCGCCUGUUGGUUCUACGAGCACCGAGCUAACCAGUGUGCCGCAAUGCAAGGUCCAAGUGAACAUCACCUCGCCGGGUUUCCAUGUUGCCCUUCCCAAGCCCGAGCCGAUGGUCCCGAUCGUGAGCAGUCAGGACGCAUGA
This 1908-nucleotide ribosomal RNA is filed under the name Triticum aestivum (bread wheat). RNAcentral's name for it is "partial small subunit ribosomal RNA". The record is from RNAcentral. Lineage: Eukaryota; Viridiplantae; Streptophyta; Magnoliopsida; Poales; Poaceae.